CCUACGGGAGGCAGCAGUGGGGAAUAUUGGGCAAUGGGCGCAAGCCUGACCCAGCAACGCCGCGUGAAGGAAGAAGGCUUUCGGGUUGUAAACUUCUUUUCUUAGGGACGAAGAAAGUGCCGGUACCUCAGGAAUAAGCCACCGCUAACUACGUGCCAGCAGCCGCGGUAAUACUUAAGUGGCAAGCGUUAUCCGGAUUUAUUGGGUGUAAAGGGCGUGUAGGCGGGAAUGCAAGUCAGAUGUGAAAACUAAGGGCUCAACCCUGAGCCUGCAUUUGACACUGUUCUUCUUGAGUGCUGGAGAGGCAAUCGGAAUUCCGGGUGUAGCGGUGAAAUGCGUAGAUAUACGGAGGAACACCAGUGGCGAAGGCGGAUUGCUGGACAGUAACUGACGCUGAGGCGCGAAAGCGUGGGGAGCAAACAGGAUUAGAUACCCUGGUAGUC
This 443-nucleotide ribosomal RNA is filed under the name uncultured bacterium. RNAcentral's name for it is "partial 16S ribosomal RNA". It matches the Rfam family "Bacterial small subunit ribosomal RNA", at positions 338 to 795 of the family's 1533-position model. The record is from RNAcentral.